GGCUCAGGACGAACGCUGGCGGCGUGCUUAACACAUGCAAGUCGAACGAUGAAGCCCUUCGGGGUGGAUUAGUGGCGAACGGGUGAGUAACACGUGGGCAAUCUGCCCUUCACUCUGGGACAAGCCCUGGAAACGGGGUCUAAUACCGGAUAACACUCUGUCCCGCAUGGGACGGGGUUAAAAGCUCCGGCGGUGAAGGAUGAGCCCGCGGCCUAUCAGCUUGUUGGUGGGGUGAUGGCCUACCAAGGCGACGACGGGUAGCCGGCCUGAGAGGGCGACCGGCCACACUGGGACUGAGACACGGCCCAGAUCUCUUACGGGAGGCAGCAGUGGGGAAUAUUGCACAAUGGGCGAAAGCCUGAUGCAGCGACGCCGCGUGAGGGAUGACGGCCUUCGGGUUGUAAACCUCUCUCAGGCAGGGAAGAAGCGAAAGUG
This 435-nucleotide ribosomal RNA is filed under the name Streptomyces sp. 1BE5. RNAcentral's name for it is "bacterial SSU rRNA". It matches the Rfam family "Bacterial small subunit ribosomal RNA", at positions 21 to 458 of the family's 1533-position model. The record is from RNAcentral. Lineage: Bacteria; Bacillati; Actinomycetota; Actinomycetes; Kitasatosporales; Streptomycetaceae.